GUGACUCCGACUUAUGUACUAGCAUUGAUUGAUGAGAUAUGGUUGUAGUCGUACAGGUCACCAUAGGUGACUCCGACUGGCGUGCUAGUAUGGGUUAUUAAGCACAUGAUUAUUUAUAUUGCUAAUGAGAUGUUGUGUGGUGGUAUACUUCUGGAUUCACUGUUAGUAUACUUUUGAUUUCAUACUUAUAUGUAGUAUGAUUUUCUGGAAACUAAACAGGUGUUACGAUAAGGGAUUAUAUCGUUUAGAAAGUCUUUAUUAAAGCUUUAUUUUCUGGCCCCACUCACUCUUGUUUUUAUCCCUCCAGGUCUAGUAGCAGAGUUUUCGUAUCGACGAGGAUUCGUGGCAAGUCUUGGUAUUAGAGAUUACCUUCGAUGGUAUGAUUUUCAAUCCACUCUACUGUACUUUACUUAUGCUCUAACGUCACGUCUGAAAUGGAUUCAUUCCCGCUCACGGCGCACUCUUGUAUUUAGGCACUUUUAGGUUUAAAUUUAUUCACUUUUUCCACGUCAUCGCACUUUAUGGCUUCGUCACCUUCCAGGUGUCGGCCAGCACAGCUCGAUUUGGAAUCCUAGUGGACAUUCCAGGUCAGGGUGUGUCAUUUAUAAUCCUAUAAAUUUAAAAUCCCUCAUUAUAAUACUAUUAGAAGCGGUUACAAUAAAAAAAUUUAAACAUUUUGAUUGAAUAAAUGGAUAAAAACUAUGUAAAAAUAAGAAAUAAUAAAUGGCAAAAGAAUGUAUCCAUACAACAACAACAACAACAACAAAGCCUUUUCCCACUAAGUGGGGUCGGCUAUAUGAAUCCUAGAACGCCAUUGCGCUCAUUUGUGUCAUGUCCUCCGUUAGAUUCAAGUACUCAAGUCUUUUCUUAGGGUCUCUUCCAAAGUUUUCCUAGGU
RNAcentral lists this long non-coding RNA (896 nucleotides) under Malus domestica (apple). Its description in RNAcentral is "long non-coding RNA (MDOM_LNC000515)". The record is from RNAcentral. Lineage: Eukaryota; Viridiplantae; Streptophyta; Magnoliopsida; Rosales; Rosaceae.